AACGAACGCUGGCGGCAUGCCUAACCCAUGCAAGUCGAACGAGGCCUUCGGGUCUAGUGGCGCACGGGUGCGUAACGCGUGGGAGCCUGCCCUUAGGUUCGGAAUAACUCCCCGAAAGGGGUGCUAAUACCGGAUAAUGUCUUCGGACCAAAGAUUUAUCGCCUUUGGAUGGGCCCGCGUUGGAUUAGCUAGUUGGUAGGGUAAAAGCCUACCAAGGCGACGAUCCAUAGCUGGUCUGAGAGGAUGAUCAGCCACACUGGGACUGAGACACGGCCCAGACUCCUACGGGAAGCAGCAGUGGGGAAUAUUGGACAAUGGGCGAAAGCCUGAUCCAGCAAUGCCGCGUGAGUGAUGAAGGCCUUAGGGUUGUAAAGCUCUUUUACCCGGGAUGAUAAUGACAGUACCGGGAGAAUAAGCUCCGGCUAACUCCGUG
Molecule: ribosomal RNA, 433 nt
Filed under: uncultured bacterium
Lineage: Bacteria
Description: partial 16S ribosomal RNA
Rfam family: Bacterial small subunit ribosomal RNA
Source: RNAcentral